This 484-nucleotide ribosomal RNA is filed under the name uncultured bacterium. RNAcentral describes it as "partial 16S ribosomal RNA". It matches the Rfam family "Bacterial small subunit ribosomal RNA", at positions 30 to 507 of the family's 1533-position model. The record is from RNAcentral.
AUUGAACGCUGGCGGCAUGCUUUACACAUGCAAGUCGAACGGCAGCGCGGGCUUCGGCCUGGCGGCGAGUGGCGAACGGGUGAGUAAUACAUCGGAACGUGCCCAGUAGUGGGGGAUAGCUCGGCGAAAGCCGGAUUAAUACCGCAUACGACCUGAGGGUGAAAGCGGGGGAUCUUCGGACCUCGCGCUAUUGGCUCGGCCGAUGGCAGAUUAGCUAGUUGGUGAGGUAAAGGCCUACCAAGGCGACGAUCUGUAGCUGGUCUGAGAGGACGACCAGCCACACUGGGACUGAGACACGGCCCAGACUCCUACGGGAGGCAGCAGUGGGGAAUUUUGGACAAUGGGCGAAAGCCUGAUCCAGCAAUGCCGCGUGUGUGAUGAAGGCCUUCGGGUUGUAAAGCACUUUUGGCGGGAACGAAAAGGACUGUGCCAAUACCACGGUUCGAUGACGGUACCCGCAGAAUAAGCACCGGCUAACUACGUG